RNAcentral lists this ribosomal RNA (518 nucleotides) under Lauridromia dehaani. Its description in RNAcentral is "partial 16S ribosomal RNA". It matches the Rfam family "Bacterial large subunit ribosomal RNA", at positions 1848 to 2630 of the family's 2925-position model. The record is from RNAcentral. Lineage: Eukaryota; Metazoa; Arthropoda; Malacostraca; Decapoda; Dromiidae.
GAGAGUCUAGCCUGCCCACUGAAAAAUUAAAGGGCCGCGGUAUAUUGACCGUGCAAAGGUAGCAUAAUCAUUAGUCUUUUAAUUGGAGGCUUGUAUGAAUGGUUGAACAAAGAAAUAACUGUCUUUUUUAUAAAAAUUGAAUUUAACUUUAGGGUGAGAAGGCCUUAAUUAACUAAGGGGACGAUAAGACCCUAUAAAGCUUUACAUAAUUUUUGUUUUUUAUAGAUUUGUAAUUUUAAUUCUAAAAAAUAAUGUUGUGUUUUGUUGGGGUGACAUGAGUAUAAUUGUUAUAACUGCUUAGAAUUUAAAACAUUAAUUAAUGUGUUAGUGAUCCUUAGUAAAGAUUAUCAGAAUAAGUUACUUUAGGGAUAACAGCGUUAUUUUUCUUGAGAGUUCAUAUCGAAAGAAAAAAUUGCGACCUCGAUGUUGAAUUAAAAUUUCUUUAUAAUGUAGCAGUUAUAAUAGAGGGUCUGUUCGACCUUUAAAUUUUUACGUGAUCUGAGUUCAGACCGGGAAGG